This 468-nucleotide ribosomal RNA is filed under the name uncultured Alphaproteobacteria bacterium. Its description in RNAcentral is "bacterial SSU rRNA". It matches the Rfam family "Bacterial small subunit ribosomal RNA", at positions 9 to 523 of the family's 1533-position model. Lineage: Bacteria; Pseudomonadati; Pseudomonadota; Alphaproteobacteria. The record is from RNAcentral.
GAGUUUGAUCAUGGCUCAGAACGAACGCUGGCGGCAGGCCUAACACAUGCAAGUCGAGCGAGAUCUUCGGAUCUAGCGGCGGACGGGUGAGUAACGCGUGGGAAUAUGCCCUUCUCUACGGAAUAGCCUCGGGAAACUGGGAGUAAUACCGUAUACGCCCUUAGGGGGAAAGAUUUAUCGGAGAAGGAUUAGCCCGCGUUGGAUUAGGUAGUUGGUGGGGUAAUGGCCUACCAAGCCUACGAUCCAUAGCUGGUUUGAGAGGAUGAUCAGCCACACUGGGACUGAGACACGGCCCAGACUCCUACGGGAGGCAGCAGUGGGGAAUCUUAGACAAUGGGGGCAACCCUGAUCUAGCCAUGCCGCGUGAGUGAUGAAGGCCUUAGGGUUGUAAAGCUCUUUCAGCUGGGAAGAUAAUGACGGUACCAGCAGAAGAAGCCCCGGCUAACUCCGUGCCAGCAGCCGCGGUAC